Molecule: long non-coding RNA, 11742 nt
Filed under: Phaseolus vulgaris (common bean)
Lineage: Eukaryota; Viridiplantae; Streptophyta; Magnoliopsida; Fabales; Fabaceae
Description: long non-coding RNA (PVUL_LNC003114)
Source: RNAcentral
GAUGACGUCAGCAGAAGACAAUCACGUGGACCACUCGCAGGGUGACACGUGGAUCGGGUGACAGAGAGAUCAGGGAGCAGAUCACCUAGAGCGGUGAUCGGAGGUCAUCCAAGUGGCCACCAACAGACCAGUUGGCAGAGAAGUCAGGGGACAGAUCACCCAGAACGGUGAUCGGUGGUCAGUAACCAAGCGGUCACCAACAGAUCAGUUCCCAGAUGAACACCUGGGGGCAGGACGCGAGAAGCAACAGAGCACCGAUCAGUCAUCGAGUGCAUGGUCAUCGGGGUCUCGUGUUACACGCAGUUAAGCUGGGACAGAGGUUCCCAGCAAGAGCGUUACACACGGACCUCGCAUGAACAUGUCCUAGAGAAUCGUGCAUGAGAGUGGCCUGAGGGGGCUAGUAAACCGGUCAGUGAUUGGUGACUCCCUCAACCCAUUACGUGCAUGACAUCGUGAAGGGGGAAUCGUUUGCGCAGAGAGCAAUGCCUGGUGAGUGUGCCUAGACCAGCCACACCUGGCGUUCUCCUGAGAGUAUGUGAUUUACCCAGAUGAAAGGAAUGCGCUAAGUUACCCCGCAAGGGAANNNNNNNNNNNNNNNNNNNNNNNNNNNNNNNNNNNNNNNNNNNNNNNNNNNNNNNNNNNNNNNNNNNNNNNNNNNNNNNNNNNNNNNNNNNNNNNNNNNNNNNNNNNNNNNNNNNNNNNNNNNNNNNNNNNNNNNNNNNNNNNNNNNNNNNNNNNNNNNNNNNNNNNNNNNNNNNNNNNNNNNCACAGAAAAGCACAACAGGGUUCUGACACAUGCCAAAGAGGCAUAACAGAAUUCUGUUAGGCGCAGGUACAGAGGGAGGCAUAAAAGAGAAUCAGAGUGAGAUUCAGAGGGAGUUUUUUACACAAUGUUUUUACACACAUUGUUUUUCUAGUGAUUAUGUGAUCUAACUUGAGCGUCGGAGCGCCACCGGCCGCAGAGGCACCACUGUGUGUUUUUCAGGUUCUCAAAGAGACUAUCUGUGGAGCGGACUUGGAGGGCACGUGGUGUCAAGCUGGUGAGGAAGAUCGUGAUGAGGCAACGCUCUUGCGCUAAGUCAACCGGCAGGAUCAUUUGGCGCCCACCGUGGGGCACGUAUAAAACGUGAUUCCCAACCAUAGUUUGUGUUGGUGGUGCUUCGAGUGUUUUCUGUUCAGCUGCUCGCUAUCUCAGUCGACUCCUGGAGUUUUCACCGUUUGUUUGGAGUUCUUUGAGCUGCUGAGUUUGCUGCGGAAGGAUGAGGACAACGCGCUCCAGUUCAGUUGCGCCAUCAACCGACGAAGAUGCUGUGUCCAUGACGCAGGUGAUGGACAUGAUGAGGACGCUGCAGGAGAACGUGGCUGCAUCGCGUUCUGAGCAGGAAAGGAUGCACGAGGCGCUGGUGGCCUCGCAAGCAAGGAACGAAGAGCUCAACAGGAUCAACGAAAAGCUGCGCAAAGCCCUUCAGGAGCGGGAGGAGCGUGCGGCAGGGGACAGAUCCGCACCCCCAUCCCCACCACGCAGCUUUCCUAUGCCGUUUUCCCAAGAGAUCAUGGACUCAGUAGUCCCGGCUAGCACUGUAGCAGUGAAAGCGUUUUUCACUGGGGUGGAGGACCCUGAAGCCCAUCUCACGGCGUUUCAUACUCAGAUGAUGCUCUCAGGGGGCUCAGACGCGGUGUAUUGUAAGGUGUUCAUGAGCACCUUGAGCGGAACGGCGUUGGACUGGUUCGUCAGUAUACCCACUGCCCAUAUUACCACGUUCCAACAGUUUUCCAAGAUGUUUGUUGAGCAGUACAUGGUGAACAAGGCGCCACCUCUAGUGUCUUACGACUUGUUUGAUAUAAGGCAGUACCAAGGGGAGUCCUUGAAGGAUUUCUUGAACAGAUUCGGGGCUCGGAUAGUCCGUUUGCCAGGAAAGGAUGAGGAUAUGUUCGUGCACGCCUUCAAAAAGGGUGUAUUGCCUGGGCCCUUUAGUGAGUCGCUCAUCAGGAGCCACCCAGCCACGUUCGCUGAAAUCCGGCGACGUGCUGUGGCUCACAUCGCCGCCGAGAGCGAGGUCACCGAGAAGAGAGGAAAUGUAGCCCCAGCUAAACCGCGCACCCAAGCGAGGGUACAACCUCAGAGGGUGAUGGAGGCGGCGGCGGGAAAGAGGGAUCAAAGGACGCGUCACCCUUACGACCCUAAGAAAAAUAAGAGCAAGGGGCCAGGGCGCCCCAGGGAAAGUAAUCGCCCCCCGAGGUAUGAGUUCGUGAUGGGAUUAGCUGAUUUGAUCGCCAUCCCAAACAUAGCUGCCAGGCUCAAAGUGCCUGAGAAGACGGCGGAGAAGAUUUUGGGGCCAAAGCCAGACGCAUGGUGCGAGUUCCACAAGAGCUUUGGCCACUCUAUCAAUUCGUGUUUGGCCCUGGGGCACCAGCUUGCCGAGCUGGUCAAAUGUGGUUUCCUGAAGGAUUACUUGCUAGAGAAGCAAGCGGACCAAGCAUCAGGGUCUUAACCAGCGAGCAGCGGAGGGCAACAGCACGAGGUGCCUAUCCACGGCGAGAUCCACACCAUAGCUGGCGGAUUCUCCGGCGGGGGGUGCACAGCGUCGCAACGAAAAAGGUAUGCGAGGUCGAUAAUGUCAGUGGAAGCCUUUGAGGAUCACUCGCCCGAUGUGGAUAUCACGUUCACCAAAGAGGACCGCAGGGACGUGGUGCCUCACGACAACGACCCUAUUGUGAUCUCGCUUGUCACGGCGGGAAGGACCGUCCACCGGGUGCUGGUCGACCAAGGAAGCUCAGCAGACGUGAUGUUUUGGCCAACCUUUGAGAAGUUACAACUGUCCCCUGAUCAGCUAAGACCAUAUGGGGGCUGCUUGUACGGUUUUGUCGGCGACCAAGUGGAGGUGAGGGGGUAUAUCGAGCUGAGGACGACCUUCACCGACGGCUUGGCCUCACGAACGGAGAAGGUCAGGUACCUUGUUGUAAACGCCCCAUCAGCAUACAACAUACUGCUGGGGAGGCCAACGCUCAACAGAACAGGAGUUGUGCCUUCGACAAGGCACAUGAAGGUCAAGCUGCCGUCUAUGGAGGGUAUGAUCAUCACUAUCUGCUCCGACCAGAAGGAGGCAAAGAAGUGUUACGAAAACAACCUCAAGAACAAGAGUUAUGUGUGCCACGUGACCACAACGCCUCCCCCUGGGGUGGAGCCGGAGCGCAAACCCCGACGAGCUUCGGAUACGGCGUUAGAAGUAGCCGCCGAGCGCGAUGCGCCGAUGGGGAAUGUAGAGGCGAGGUCGGAGAGAAACUGCUCGGAGACCGCCAGAGAAACCGGUAUCGCGAGGGCGCUGAUUGCCAGCGAGAGGAAACCUCAGCCAAUAGAGGAAUGACUCGAGAAGGAGAUCAGUGGGAAGGUGUUUAAGCUGGGAAGGACCCUGGAUAGCAAAACGCAAGACCAGAUCGCCGAGGUAAUAAGUAGACAUUUGGAUGCGUUUGCGUGGGCUGCUUCAGAUAUGCCGGGGAUCGACCCCGAUUUCUUAUGCCAUCGUUUGGCAAUGGACCCCCAAGUCCGGCCUAUCCGCCAAAGAAGAAGAAAAUUCAAUGAGGAGAAGAGGCAAGCGAUCAAAGAAGAGACACGGAAACUACUUGCAGCGGGCCACAUCAGGGAAAUCCAAUAUCCAGAAUGGCUCGCUAACGUCGUCCUAGUCAAGAAGAGCAGCGGAAAAUGGUGGAUGUGCGUCGACUUUACAGACUUGAACAAGGCCUGCCCGUAGGACUCUUACCCUUUGCCAAGCAUUGACGCCCUAGUAGACAGUGCAUCAGGGUGCAAGCUGCUCAGUUUCCUGGAUGCCUUUUCGGGAUACAACCAAAUCAAAAUGCACCCCAUGGACGAAGAGAAGACCGCCUUCAUGACGGAAAGAUCGUGUUAUUGCUACAAGGUGAUGCCCUUCGGGUUGAAGAAUGCAGGGGUCACGUACCAAAGGCUGAUGGACAAGGUGCUCGCGCCCAUGCUCGGAAGGAAUGUGCAGGGAAAUUUCUGGGGUUUCUUCUGUCAGAGAGGGGAAUUGAGGCUAACCCCGAGAAGUGCGCCGCCAUUUUGGCAAUGAGGAGCCCCGCCAAUGUGAAGGAGGUGCAGCAACUCACGGGGCGAAUGGCCGCCCUGUCUCAAUUCGUAUCGGCAAGCGGAGAGAAGGGCCACCCAUACUUCCAAUGUUUGAAGAGAAACAACAGAUUUGUUUGGACAAAGGAGUGUGAGGAGGCCUUCGUAAAGCUCAAGGAAUAUUUGGCGAGCCCUCCAGUUCUGUGCAAGCCCCAAGACAUAACACCCCUCAGGCUGUACUUUGCCAUAACUGAAAGGGCGAUCAGCGCAGUGCUAGUGCAGGAUCAGGACCAGACCCAAAGGCCUAUAUAUUUCGUUAGCAAGGUGCUGCAAGGCCCGGAGGUAAGGUACCAGGCCCUAGAAAAGGCAGCAUUAGCGGUUGUAUUCUCGGCGAGGAGAUUGCGCCAUUACUUCCAGAGCUUCACGGUACUGGUGACGACUGAUCUGCCGAUCCAGAAGGUUUUGAAGAAGCCCGAUGUGGCUGGAAGGAUGGUGAAGUGGGCGGUCGAGCUUUCGGAGUUCGACAUCAAGUAUGAGCCCCGGGGAUCGAUCAAAGGGCAAGUCUUCGCCGAUUUCGUGGUCGAGUUGUCCUCAGAAGUGGCACAAAACGCCAAGGGUGACUUUCGCUGGGUACUCUCUGUUGAUGGGUCGUCCAACCAGCUGGGCAGCGGGGCUGGGGUCAUCUUGGAGGGGCCCAACGGAGUGUUGAUAGAGCAGUCAUUAAGGUUCGCUUUCAAAGCAAGCAACAACCAAACAGAGUAUGAGGCUUUGAUCGCUGGAAUCUUGAUGGCUAAGGAAAUGGGGGCGAGAGUGCUGAUGGCCAAGAGCGACUCGCUGUUGGUCACGGGACAAGUAACUGGCGAGUUCCAAGCCAAGGACCCGCAGAUGGCAGCCUACUUGGAGUACGUGCAGGAGCUGAGAAGAUCUUUCGCUUCAUUUGAAAUGGUGCACGUGCCAAGAGAACAGAAUGCCCGAGCUGACUUGCUAGCCAAGCUCGCCAGUUCGGGCAAGGGGGGUAGGCAGAGGACUGUCAUUCAAGAAACUCUGAAAGCGCCUCGAGCAUUCGUGGCAGACCACCAAGUUUUCCAUGUUUGCAGAUCAAUGGGAAGACCGGCGAUAAGCCAUAGAUCCCUAACACAAGAAACUCUGAGGGCGCCGAGGGUCAGAGCGCGCCCGGUAGAAGAAGGAGCAAGAUCGAUGCAGAUUUGCGCUGUCCACGAGCCAGACACGUGGAUAACGCCUUACCAACGUUAUUUAGUGGAUGGUGUGCUUCCAGUUGACUCAACUGAGGCCAGAAAAAUAAAGAAGAGCUCCAGCAAGUUUACCCUUAUUGACGGCGAGCUGUACAGGUUUGGAUUCACGCACCCCCUUCUUGUAUGCAUACACGGAGAGAAGUGCACGAGGAUUAUGGCUGAGCUCCAUGAGGGAAUUUGCGGGAGCCACAUUGGAGGUCGAUCGCUGGCGACAAGGACUAUUCGUGCAGGCUAUUACUGGCCCACGAUGAGAGAAGAUUGCAAGAGAUACGCCCAGCGUUGCAAGCAAUGCCAGCAGCACACCGAUUGGCACAAGGCACCCCUAGAAGAGCUGAAGUCGAUUUACAGCCCAUGGCCGUUCCAUACUUGGGGAAUUGACAUUCUGGGACCCUUCCCAUUGGCGAUCAGGCAGAUGAAGUACUUGGUGGUGGCGAUCGAAUACUUCACCAAGUGGAUCGAAGCGGAGCCAGUGGCCCAGAUCACCGCACACAAGAUCGAGAGCUUUGUAUGGAAGAACAUAGUGUGCCGGUUUGGUGUGCCUAAACGCUUGGUGUCAGACAAUGGGACUCAGUUUGCAAGUCACCUCUUGAAAAAGCUGUGCGAAAAGGUGGGGAUACAACAGGUGUUUGCAUCUGUCGAACACCCACAGACGAAUGGCCAAGUGGAGUCUGCCAAUCGGGUGUUGCUGAGAGGUUUAAAGAGAAGAUUAGAGAAAGCUAAGGGAUCGUGGGCUGAAGAGGUACCCCGCAUAGUUUGGGCAUACCAUACCACUGAGCAGUCAGGAACCCACGAGACCCCCUUCAGUUUGGUUUAUGGAUGUGAUGCGAUGAUUCCAGUCGAAAUCCAGGAAAGCUCGCCAAGAUUCCAGAACUUCGUGGCGGAAGACUCGAACGAAGAAAGAAGAAUGAAUCUGGAUUUGCUGGAUGAGGUCAGGAAGGAGGCGAGAGUGAAAGCCGAAGCGGUAAAGAGAAGAGUUGAGCGAAGGUACAACUCUAAGGUAACGUCAAGGCAGUUUAAAAGCGGCGAUCUGGUGAUGAGGAAGGCCCAUCAGUAUGAGAUGCAGAACAAGUUAUCGCCCAAGUGGACAGGACCGUUCAGAAUAACCGAGGCGCUCGGGAAUAGCGCCUACCGCUUGGAGACGUUAGAAGGAGGGGCGAUUCCUCGCACUUGGAACGCAACACAUCUCAAGUCGUAUUACAGUUAAAGCCUUGUAAGUAAAGACGAAUAUGAAGAGAUUCGAAUAGUUUCUGUUAAAACAAUUUCAAGGGGGCACUCUUUUUUCCCUAAGGAGGGUUUUUAAUGAGGCCACCCAAUAAAGAAGAGUUUUUCAAAGUUUAAAGCUUCUAUGUUUGCAUGCUUAUGGCUUCGAGAGUUUUAGGAAAAAGGCCUUAUUACUAGUAUGUGAUCUAGGGCAACAGUAAAAUCGUAUUGCAUGCUCUCAGUUAAAAGUUUUAAAGUCCCCAUCGCUUUUCGGCGAUCGGCGGCACAGUUAAAGUUGUAAAGUCCUCAUCGUCUUUCGGCGAUCGGAGGCACCAGCAAUGAUCAAAAGACCUCUCUGCACCAGCAGAUAGAGGCAAGAUUAAAAGUCCUCAAUGCGUCCAGGGAAGAGGAGAUGUAACCCCUAGGCAAAGUAGAGGCACCAGAUAAAGUCCUCCUCGACUUUGUGCGAGUGCAGGCGAGAUCAGAUUAAAAGACCUCUCUGCACCAGCAGAUAGAGGCAAGAUUAAAAGUCCUCAGUGCAUCCAGGGAAGAGGAGAUGUAAAUCCUGGGCAAAGUAGAGGCACCAGAUAAAGUCCUUCUCGCCGUUGAGCGAGUUCAGGCCAGAUAAAGUCCUUCUCGCCGUUGAGCGAGUUCAGGCAAAAUGAGCUGAAAGGUCAGGGGUGUUUGUGACCUUAAAGGGAAGGAAAAUGCCUUUCCCCCUUUAAGUGAAACAUCAAUGUUGACCCAGUAAGACCAGAUCAUUGUUCUGAAACUCAGGGAGGUAGAGAAGGAUCCGAAAGGCGCCUCUAUCCCCAGAUGAGGGAACAAUGAUCAGGUCAGGGAAAAGAAGAAAGGUAACAUCGCCAGAACCUUGCGGCGUGAAAGUUGAGACAGUGAAGGGCUUGUGCGGCGAGUACCAGAUUCGAAGAGUUCCGGGCGAUGACAGAAGUAAGGGGAAUUUCACUUGGCAGAUCAGGUAAACUGUAUCUUAAUACUAGUUUGAGUCAAAACCUGCUGCCUAGUAAGUGAUUUUAUGUUAGGGUUUGUUGCCUUAAGUUCACAAGUUUUAUUGAACGUCAUCGCCGAAGAAUUGAUAGUUGCUCAAGUUUACUUUGAGUUAACAGUUUGCCAAGUUUGUUAUAAGGUUAAACAACUUGCUCGAGUUAAAAGCGGUACAUGGAGGGUCAAGUUCAAGUAUUGCUGAGUUCACGCAGUUGAGCAAGUUUCGCCAAACAAGGUAUCACCUCUGACUAUCGAUGCCCUCUGUGCGCUUAGCGCUAGAGCGAUGGAGAAGCAAAGUGAAGUACAAAGAACGGUGACUGAUGAGUUGUUGGUGGGUACGCUGCCCGAAGAACGAUGACUGAUGAGUUGUUGGUGGGUACGCUGCUUGAGGAACGAUGACUGAUCAGUCUUGCCUUGUCGGAGGAAACUUUUCCAAACAAAUUCCUACACAACAAGCUAGCAGACAGGCUAUGCCUUGUCAUUCAUCCAGUACAAAGCAGUGCACAAGAACUGUUAAGGACGAAGCUAAGGGAGUAGUUAGUCGCGAUCAAAGUAGAGGCCAAGAUCAAAGAAGGCAGAUCGCGCUAAGCCUAAGCUGGUUAACAGUUAGUCGUGUGCAAAGAGAAAGACAAAGCUUAAGAAAAAUGCGGAGAGAAAGAUAUGCGUCUGAAACUGGUAUAUAUUAAGCGACAAAGUUUAUACAAGUUCAACUACAACGAAUUGUGCAGAAGUGCAAAAUUACAAAGAAAAAGAGAGAAAAAGCUCAAGGAGGAGGGAUGAGCUUUCCAUCUACCACUUCGUGAUAAAUGUUGAACUGUGAGAGGUCCAAGUCCGGGAGAACGCAUUGGAUCUGCUCGAGCGCCAGCUCGAAUCCGUCAGCAAGGGCGUCAGCACCCACAUUCAUAAGGUCGGCGUUCUCAUCCUCCAAUUUUUGCUUUGAGGCCUCCGCAGCAUUUUUCUCGGUGGUAAGGGCAGCAAGGGAAGAGGCAGCUUCUUCCAAUUGGCCCUUUGCCUCAGACAGCUUGCUCACCACCUCCUCAAGCUUCUUCUCCCCAGUAGCGGUCGCUUCCCUGGUAGACUCGAGCUCCCCCACUAGUUGUGAGUUCAGUUGGCGUAGGGAGGAGGUCUCGGCCCGCAGUUGCGCCACCUCGCAGUCCAGGGAGUUGACAGCUUGCCCCAUCAAGAUCUCAGUCUUGAUGGUCUCUUGGACUUGCGCGAAGUACACUCCCCUGGACUUUUCCACCAUACCCCUCAUCAUGGCUAUGGACCCUUGGGCAGCUUCGAAGUCACUUUGCAGUGACGCCUUGUCAUGCUCAAGCUCCUUUACCCUCUUCUCCAGGGCUAGCACUAUCUGCUUCACCAGGUGCAUGUCCACCUCCUCCCCGGUCCACUCGAUGAGCUCCCGGCUGCGAAUGAGCUGUCGAACCAGAGCAAUGACUCGGCUGAAGUUCUCAUUACUUGUUCCAGAGCCGCUUGGUCGAGAGCUGGCCUCGCCACCUUCAGCGGUAGCAGCGGAGGUUGGCAGUGGUGGUGGCGACACGAGAGGUCCCGGGAGAUCCCCCGAGCAAGCAGAAUCGCCCCCAGCAGGUGGAGUGGAUUGACCAAGUGGUUGGCCUGCUGGGGGAGGAGAUGGCGAUCGAGGAGUUGGGGAUGGCAGUUGUUGGGGAGAGGGAAGGCAUGUUGGCACUGGGGCAGGUUGAAUAGAAGGAGGCGAGGGUGAACCUUCCUCUAUCUCCACUACCUCAAUCUCCCCGGGCUGAAGAGAUGAAGCCCCCCCAACCGCUGGAAGUGUCCUCUUGCGGUGUAUGAGAGGAGAGUCAGAGCUCUCCUCUUUGGUUGAGGGAGCAGGAGCAGCAGCAGCAGCAGCAGAUGAAGGGAAGGCCUUCACCAGCUUCCUUCUUUUCCUUCCUGGCUCAGGGCCUUCAGCUGGCGCGACCGAGAGAGGAGGAGCUGCAAUAGGAUCGGUGGUGGAAGAAGAGGAAAAAGAAGUUUGGCAAGCUCCAGCAAAGCUUUCCUCCUAUCCUUCCCUGACAUCGUAUCUACAUCGAAGGGAAAAAGAAGAGUUAGAUGGCCUAGUUAUGCAAGUGAGUCAAAAUGUAUGCAAACAUGCAUGAGAAUGUGCAAGUAUCCUAAGAGGUGACAGAAGAAGAGCUACCUAUGUAUUUUUUCAAAGCCAACACAUCAAACUCAUGUUUGAUGAGGAGAGCAGAGUUGUACUUGGCCCCCAGGAACAGCCCACAUAGCUCGCGCUCGUAGGGGGCCAUGGCUUUGAGGUCCCGGGGUUUCUUGAAUUCAACCACAGGAACCCAGUAGAGGGGGCACCCCUCGAGCAAUGUUGGACUUUGCAGGGUGGCAGAUAUCAUGUAGAACCUGCCUUUCCAAUCUUUGAAGGAUUGCUAAUACAGGCCCAAGAGCACCCGUCCAGCAACCCCAUUCAGACUAACCCAGGACCUGUCCCCAGGGUUCUUCGCCUCGAAGAAGUAGAGGAACACAUCCACGGAGGCGUUAUGCCCGAAGUAAUUGCAGAAAAUUUCAAAUGCCCGGAUGAAGGCCCAGGCAUUUGGAUGGAGUUGGCAGGGUGCGACGUUCAGCUCCAUCAUCAGCUCCUUCUCGAAAAAGGUGAAGGGUAGGCGUAGCUUCAACCUUUUGAAGAUGGCGGAGUAGACGAAGAUGAAGGGCACCCCAUUGGUGGCCCUAUCGUCCGCACAGAUGGGCAUCCCUCGAGGAGGAAUGCAGACGCGGAUGUUGAAGUCGUUUUCCCGAUCGAUGGCGCAAGAGGGCUCAUCCGGGUCGCUGCUCAGGAGGGAUUUUAGGUGCCCUUGCGGCAGCAAGGUAGAGGUUUCGGCGAGCAACGCCAGGGGAGCCCAGUCAUAGACCCUGGCGUUGUCAUGGUAGGAGGUUGCAACGGGUGGUGGUGGAGAUGGAGCACUUGCGGAAGGCUGUGCACCAGAAGACGAGGCGAUGAUUCGAGCGGUCUGUUUCAAGCGAGCCAUUGAUAGAUAGCUGCAGUGGGGGAAAAGCGAAAAGUCAGAAUGAAUGGAAGGGGAGGGAAUGAUGAAUGGUUCGGUGAAAAACAGAGGAAGGGAAGGAGAAAGAAGGGUCCAGGCGGAAAGAGGAAGAGGGAGAAGCAGAGAGCGGAGUGAAGAAUGCUAGGGGAAGAUGGAUGCAUGAUGAUGAAAGGGGCGAAUGCAAUCGAUGAAAGGAACCUAAAUGGACCAAGAAAGAAGAAAAACCAUACCUUUGAAUGAUCGCGAAAGUUCUGAAGGUAGAAAGCUAGAAGAAAGAUGGAAGCGCAGAGAGGGGAUUCGCAGAGAGUUUGGGAGUUGAUUGAAGAAGAUGAAGAAACAGUAAAGGCGCGCGCCUAUUUGAAAAGAAGGGAAGCGCUAGCGACACUCCACGUUGACCGUUGAUGCGCCCACGUGUCGCGAGAUUAAGGGAGGUAGUCGUAACAUUAAAGGGCAGCACGUGAGGUAGCACGUCAUGUGGGCCCACUUGCCACGUGGACCGAAGGCGCGACCACUUAGUCUCUUCGCUGAGAACGAGUUCACAGCUCGAGACUGAGGGGCUUGUGAUCCGGUCGGUCAUCGGUGGUUGAUGAUGUCAGCAGAAGACAAUCACGUGGACCACUCGCAGGGUGACACGUGGAUCGGGUGACAGAGAGAUCAGGGAGCAGAUCACCUAGAGCGGUGAUCGGAGGUCAUCCAAGUGGCCACCGACAGACCAGUUGGCAGAGAAGUCAGGGGACAGAUCACCCAGAACGGUGAUCGGUGGUCAGUAACCAAGCGGGUCACCGACAGAUCAGUUCCCAGAUGAACACCUGGGAGCAGAACGCGAGAAGCAACAGAGCACCGAUCAAUCAUCGAGUGCAUGGUCAUCGGGGUCUCGUGUUACACGCAGUUAAGCUGGGACAGAGGUUCCCAGCAAGAGCGUUACACACAGACCUCGCAUGAACAUGUCUCAGAGAAUCGUGCAUGAGAGUGGCCUGAGGGGGCUAGUAAACCGGUCAGUGAUUGGUGACUCCCUCAACCCAUUACGUGCAUGACAUCGUGAAGGGGGAAUCGUUUGCGCAGAGAGCAAUGCCUGGUGAGUGUGCCUAGACCAGCCACACCUGGCGUUCUCCUGAGAGUAUGCGAUUUACCCAGAUGAAAGGAAUGCGCUAAGUUACCCCGCAAGGGAAUAACUUAGACACGCAGAGAGAAGCGCUAGAGCCCU